GACGAAGGCGGCUAGCGUUGUUCGGAAUUCCUGGGCUAAAAGCGCACGCAGGCAGCUUAUCAAGCGUCUUGUGAAAUCCCUCGUCUCAACCGAGGAAUCGCUGGGCGAACUGAUAGGCUUGAGGCAGGUAGGGGCGAGUGGAACUCUUGGUGGAGCGGUGGAAAGCGUACAUAUCAAGAGGAACGCCAGAGGUGAAGACGACUCGCUGGGCCUGUCCUGACGCUGAGUUGCGAAAGCCAGGGGAGCAAACGGG
Molecule: ribosomal RNA, 253 nt
Filed under: uncultured bacterium
Lineage: Bacteria
Description: partial 16S ribosomal RNA
Rfam family: Bacterial small subunit ribosomal RNA
Source: RNAcentral